AGUAAAUGUGGAGCCGUAGCGAAAGCGAGUCUGAAUAGGGCGUUUAGUAUUUGGUCGUAGACCCGAAACCAGGUGAUCUACCCUUGGUCAGGUUGAAGUUCAGGUAACACUGAAUGGAGGACCGAACCGACUUACGUUGAAAAGUGAGCGGAUGAACUGAGGGUAGCGGAGAAAUUCCAAUCGAACCUGGAGAUAGCUGGUUCUCUCCGAAAUAGCUUUAGGGCUAGCCUCAAGUGAUGAUUAUUGGAGGUAGAGCACUGUUUGGACGAGGGGCCCCUCUCGGGUUACCGAAUUCAGACAAACUCCGAAUGCCAAUUAAUUUAACUUGGGAGUCAGAACAUGGGUGAUAAGGUCCGUGUUCGAAAGGGAAACAGCCCAGACCACCAGCUAAGGUCCCAAAAUAUAUGUUAAGUGGAAAAGGAUGUGGCGUUGCCCAGACAACUAGGAUGUUGGCUUAGAAGCAGCCAUCAUUUAAAGAGUGCGUAAUAGCUCACUAGUCGAGUGACACUGCGCCGAAAAUGUACCGGGGCUAAACAUAUUACCGAAGCUGUGGAUUGUCCUUUGGACAAUGGUAGGAGAGCGUUCUAAGGGCGUUGAAGCAUGAUCGUAAGGACAUGUGGAGCGCUUAGAAGUGAGAAUGCCGGUGUGAGUAGCGAAAGACGGGUGAGAAUCCCGUCCACCGAUUGACUAAGGUUUCCAGAGGAAGGCUCGUCCGCUCUGGGUUAGUCGGGUCCUAAGCUGAGGCCGACAGGCGUAGGCGAUGGAUAACAGGUUGAUAUUCCUGUACCACCUAUA
This 795-nucleotide ribosomal RNA is filed under the name Staphylococcus aureus. RNAcentral's name for it is "partial 23S ribosomal RNA". It matches the Rfam family "Bacterial large subunit ribosomal RNA", at positions 653 to 1452 of the family's 2925-position model. Lineage: Bacteria; Bacillati; Bacillota; Bacilli; Caryophanales; Staphylococcaceae. The record is from RNAcentral.